This 404-nucleotide ribosomal RNA is filed under the name uncultured Gracilibacter sp. RNAcentral describes it as "bacterial SSU rRNA". It matches the Rfam family "Bacterial small subunit ribosomal RNA", at positions 356 to 774 of the family's 1533-position model. The record is from RNAcentral. Lineage: Bacteria; Bacillati; Bacillota; Clostridia; Eubacteriales; Gracilibacteraceae.
GGGGAAUAUUGCGCAAUGGGGGAAACCCUGACGCAGCAACGCCGCGUGGAGGAAGAAGGUCUUCGGAUUGUAAACUCCUGUCUUCUGGGACGAAAAAAAUGACGGUACCAGAGGAGGAAGCCACGGCUAACUACGUGCCAGCAGCCGCGGUAAUACGUAGGUGGCAAGCGUUGUCCGGAAUUACUGGGCGUAAAGGGCGCGUAGGCGGCUCUUUAAGUUAGAUGUGAAAACCCAGGGCUCAACCCUGGGAGUGCAUUUAAAACUGAAGGGCUCGAGUGCAGGAGAGGUAAGUGGAAUUCCUAGUGUAGCGGUGAAAUGCGUAGAUAUUAGGAGGAACACCAGUGGCGAAGGCGACUUACUGGACUGUAACUGACGCUGAGGCGCGAAAGCGUGGGGAGCAAACA